AUAUUCAGAGUAGGGCACUUCCUGAAAUACUCUUUGAAUCUUUUCCAUGCUUCUGGAUAGCUCUCAAGGUCCUUUUGCUUGAAAGUAUGGACUUCAUUUCGGACAU
Molecule: small nucleolar RNA, 106 nt
Filed under: Olea europaea subsp. europaea
Lineage: Eukaryota; Viridiplantae; Streptophyta; Magnoliopsida; Lamiales; Oleaceae
Description: Plant small nucleolar RNA R71
Rfam family: Plant small nucleolar RNA R71
About the family: R71 is a member of the C/D box family of snoRNAs containing the C (UGAUGA) and D (CUGA) box motifs.
Source: Rfam by way of RNAcentral